This 351-nucleotide ribosomal RNA is filed under the name uncultured Sphingobacteriales bacterium. RNAcentral's name for it is "bacterial SSU rRNA". It matches the Rfam family "Bacterial small subunit ribosomal RNA", at positions 1029 to 1382 of the family's 1533-position model. The record is from RNAcentral. Lineage: Bacteria; Pseudomonadati; Bacteroidota; Sphingobacteriia; Sphingobacteriales.
UUUUACGAGGUGCUGCAUGGUUGUCGUCAGCUCGUGCCGUGAGGUGUCGGGUUAAGUCCAUAACGAGCGCAACCCUACCUUAGUUGCCAUCAGGUAAUGCUGGGGACUCUAAAGGAACUGCCUACGCAAGUAGUGAGGAAGGCGGGGAUGACGUCAAAUCAGCACGGCCCUUACGUCCAGGGCUACACACGUGCUACAAUGGCCGAUACAGAGGGCAGCUACCUGGUGACAGGAUGCAAAUCUCCAAAGUCGGUCUCAGUUCGGAUCGGAGUCUGCAACCCGACUCCGUGAAGUUGGAUUCGCUAGUAAUCGCGCAUCAGCCAUGGCGCGGUGAAUACGUUCCCGGGCCUU